UCGGGAAUAUUGCGCAAUGGAGGAAACUCUGACGCAGUGACUCCGCGUGCAGGAAGAAGGUUUUCGGAUUGUAAACUGCUUUAGACAGGGAAGAAACAAGACAGUACCUGUAGAAUAAGCUCCGGCUAACUACGUGCCAGCAGCCGCGGUAAUACGUAGGGAGCAAGCGUUAUCCGGAUUUAUUGGGUGUAAAGGGUGCGUAGACGGGAAAUUAAGUUAGUUGUGAAAUCCCUCGGCUUAACUGAGGAACUGCAACUAAAACUGAUUUUCUUGAGUGUUGGAGAGGAAAGUGGAAUUCCUAGUGUAGCGGUGAAAUGCGUAGAUAUUAGGAGGAACACCAGUGGCGAAGGCGACUUUCUGGACAAUAACUGACGUUGAGGCACGAAAGUGUGGGGAGCAAACAGGAUUAGAUACCC
Molecule: ribosomal RNA, 416 nt
Filed under: uncultured bacterium
Lineage: Bacteria
Description: bacterial SSU rRNA
Rfam family: Bacterial small subunit ribosomal RNA
Source: RNAcentral